Passer domesticus (house sparrow) is the source of this 2035-nucleotide long non-coding RNA. RefSeq lists it as uncharacterized. The transcript is spliced from 3 exons. NCBI's taxonomy places the organism in Eukaryota, Metazoa, Chordata, Aves, Passeriformes, Passeridae. The record is from RefSeq and is a predicted model, not a curated record.
CUAGGCAGCUUUGUAGCUUGCUCAAUAUUCACCAUGCAGCAUGAAUUGACCGUUCGCAGCACUUAGUGCUGUAAGAUUAGUCUUUUGGGGUUUUUCUUCGUUUAAAAAAAAUCCUUUUUCAACAAAAAAAAGGGCAACUUUUGAUGCAUGUCAUUCCUCCCUUCUUGCAUAUGUUCGUUUUUGAUUCAAGCAUACUGUUGAAACCUUUCCUCCCUCACAGAGCAAAAUCCCCUAGAAAAGAGCAGAGCCUGCUUGUGUGCAUUUAUUUUUACCGGAUCUUGAAAGAAUUUGUUACUUAAAAGGAGAGACAGGGGGGAAAAAGACUCUAUUGCUGAUUGAGACCACUGAGCAUUACUGUGAUAGGAACAAAACUAAUAAGGUAACAAGCAGCUCUAACCUCAGCUUAAUUAACACAUCGUUAAGAUCAAGUGUGUGGAGAGGUAAUGGCUCAGUGUCACUGUGCCUGGCACAGUGUUCUUAUGGGUGAACUGGGAGGUGUGGCGACCCGAGGAAUGCGUCACAAUUUAUUUCUUGUUUGAGUGUUUAUUCUUUAGCCUCAGUGUAACCUAAGUAAUUUUUCCAAGGGAGACCUGCAAUGCUCGUAGCAAUUUUCAGGUACGAGCUGGAAGAAAUGAGUAUUGUGAGAAAGGGCAGUGUGUGACGAGGGAAGGUUUGCUCAGAAGUGCAGGCAGGCCCAGAUCUGGAUCCUCGGCUGCUGAGAGCAGUCAGGAAAAUGGGAGAUGACUGAAAGCUUUUAGUGCCAGAGCUAUUUGUUGACGUCUGAAGCAGAUCGCUUUCUGAUCUCAUCUCCCCUUGCGCUGGGCUUGGAACCAGAAGGAGAGACAUCAAAGGCUUUGAAGGAAAAAAAAAUGCAACUGAGGAAAAAUUGAUUGUUUGCCAUGAAAACCUACCCUGAAAAGAGCAGUCUGAAGAACAAUUAGCCAGAGGAGGUAAUGGUACCCACACACAGCUGCUGCUGAACAUCUCUAGCACGGACACCUACCUGGACCAGCUCUCUUUCUUUGAAGCCCCUUUUGGGGGACAAAUACUUAAAGCUAAAUGAUGAAUUUUGGUUCAUGAAAACUCACUUUCUACCUGCAAACUGCAACAACUCUUCCUUGACAAUGGAGAGAAAUAAAUGCAGCUUUGUAUGGUUCUGUCUGCAGAAGAUAUCAUGAGCACCUGGGAAGGACCUGAGUCCCCCUGCAAUGCCAGUACCAUGGGACCACAUGCAAGCAUCGAGUUCAUCUUGCCAUUGCAAUCUCCUUCCUUUAUUUUUUUGUGUAUUUUGAACUAAAGAAUGAUCGUUCUGAGAAGGGAUCAAUAGCCCAGCUGAGUGUUCAAGUUAUUAACUCACAAACAAACAGUGUCAGGGCUGAUGGGAGGAGGAAGAAUGUCAAUUUUCUGUGCAAACGUUAUUGUGAGGAGCCAUCAAGGAGUGUUUUAUUUAGCAAAUCAGGGCUAUAGGAUCUAUGCUGUUCCCUUGCUGGGAGAAUGGACAGAGUUGAGGAAUCAAAUUAUGUAUCUGGUAAAGUGUCUCAGGAGGGUUAACCUUCAGGCUGAGGGUCAGCCUGAGGAAGGAUGUCAUGUGAGAAGGAUUCCUCUCUUUUCUUAUCCCUCUGCCCACCUAUCUUUGCCCCCUCCAGUGAAAAAGCUCUCUGAGCUCUCUGCUGAGUCUUUUCUCACCCCUACCCUCAUUUUGGGGUGUUUGUCUUCACAGGCAAAGGACAUGAAGCUGUCCUAAUUCUUUCCAUAGGAGGAAAAAGAGGAUCUGUCCUCUUCAAGCCAUCCUCCAUUGGAAGUGGUUGCCCACAGAGCAGAGUCUGUGUCUUAUCCUCCUCUGAAUCCUCAUCCUCCUCUUGCCUAUAAUGGUGUACCAGUGUUUUACAUCCCCUCACAUCAUUUUUGCCUUGUGCCCAUAAUAAAGAGUGGCAGAGGGCUGGAGCGCCAGACUGGCAGCUGGGACUGUCCCAGUUCUUAGCAAAUCCAACCAUGCAUUAAAAUCUUUGGAGUCCCAGCCCUUUUCCCCUUUUAU